GUGCAUUUCUUGUUUACCUUUUAUAUUGACAACGUAAUUGUCUGGUUGAAAUAUUAUAGAUAAUUUAGGCUACAAAACAACCUGAGGAUUGAAUAUAAACAUUGUUUGACAUGUUUCUAUUAACUUUACGGAUACCAUUUGGAUUUUUUUGUCUGAUUGUUUUGACUGAGUUUGAGCCUGUGGAUUACUGAAGAACACGCGCUAACAUGAUACAAAGAGACUUCAUCGAACAAAAGGAACAUUUAUUGAGUAAAUUAAUGUCUUUUGAUUGCCACCAUAUGAAGAUCAUCAAAGUCCAAUGGGCUGGACCUCCAGCUGUGAUGCGUG
Molecule: long non-coding RNA, 327 nt
Organism: Oncorhynchus tshawytscha (Chinook salmon)
Lineage: Eukaryota; Metazoa; Chordata; Actinopteri; Salmoniformes; Salmonidae
Source: Ensembl